RNAcentral lists this ribosomal RNA (253 nucleotides) under uncultured bacterium. Its description in RNAcentral is "partial 16S ribosomal RNA". It matches the Rfam family "Bacterial small subunit ribosomal RNA", at positions 524 to 776 of the family's 1533-position model. The record is from RNAcentral.
GACGGAGGGUGCUAGCGUUGUUCGGAAUGACUGGGCGUAAAGGGUGCGUAGGCGGCGCGGUAAGUCGGGUGUGAAAUCUCGGAGCUUAACUCCGAAACUGCAUUCGAUACUGCCGUGCUUGAGGACUGGAGAGGAGACUGGAAUUUACGGUGUAGCGGUGAAAUGCGUAGAUAUCGUAAGGAAGACCAGUGGCGAAGGCGGGUCUCUGGACAGUUCCUGACGCUGAGGCACGAAGGUCAGGGGAGCAGACGGG